This 253-nucleotide ribosomal RNA is filed under the name uncultured bacterium. RNAcentral describes it as "partial 16S ribosomal RNA". It matches the Rfam family "Bacterial small subunit ribosomal RNA", at positions 524 to 776 of the family's 1533-position model. The record is from RNAcentral.
UACAGAGGUGGCAAGCGUUGUUCGGAAUUACUGGGCGUAAAGCGCACGCAGGUGGCUGAGUCAGUCGAUUGUGAAAGCCCUGGGCUUAACCUGGGAAUUGCAGUCGAUACUACUUAGCUAGAGUAUGGGAGAGGGCAGUGGAAUUCCCGGUGUAGCGGUGAAAUGCGUAGAUAUCGGGAGGAACAUCAGUGGCGAAGGCGGCUGCCUGGCCCAAUACUGACACUCAGGUGCGACAGCGUGGGGAGCAAACAGG